Topomyia yanbarensis is the source of this 2038-nucleotide RNA transcript. RefSeq lists it as uncharacterized. The record is from RefSeq and is a predicted model, not a curated record. The transcript is spliced from 7 exons. NCBI's taxonomy places the organism in Eukaryota, Metazoa, Arthropoda, Insecta, Diptera, Culicidae.
GACAAGUUUGAUUGACUUCCGCCAUUGUUCCCAUCUGUUAAUAUAUCAACACUGCAAUUUUCAUUCGGUCUGAGCUUUAAAAACAAACCAGAAAAUCGGUCAUGGCUUUGUGUUGACGAUUGUUGUGAAUAAUGUAAUCUGUCUAAACUCAACAACAAUGAAAUCGUGCUACAUCUACUGAUUUGGUGCUGUGAUACGUAUUGUGCGGUCGUAGGUAUAUGCACUACAAAUUGAUUCAAUGAGUUAGUGUGAUACAACAGUCUCUUAUCGUUUUGGUUCUUUUUAUUUUGCAAAAGUUAAAUGAUCUGUGUUAAACGAGCUUGUUUAUUUUCUCGCCAUAAACAUAAAACUAUUCCGAUAGUAAAUCUGUCUAGCAGAGUGAUGAGCGAAAAACCAGACACUAUAUUGAGUUCUUCCGACAACUGGUUCAAUAAAUAUGCUGCUGUCGAAGAUGCUCCUGAGGGCGUGUUCAAAGGAGUUUCGGACCGGUUCAGUGGUAUAACGGUUGACUCGAAUCUAGAGACAUGUCGGCCAGAAGAAUUCUCAUCUGUUCUACAAAGAUCUCUUUCGCACUGGGUCUCAAGCAAUAGACGAGGUGUUUGGUUCAAAAUCAACUUAAACUGUAGUCACUGGGUGCCGGAAUUAGCGAAGAAUCAGUUUAAAUUCCAUCAUGCCAAGGAUAACUUCGUCAUGAUGUAUCGAUGGUUGCCGAAGGAUGAAGAAAUGAAUAUACCGCCGUACGCACACACUAUGGUUGGCGUGGGUGCUCUAGUCAUCAAUGAGCAGAAACAAAUCUUAGUUGUCAGUGAAAGACAUGCGUUGAUAAAAGAAUCCUGGAAACUUCCGGGCGGAUACGUUGAACCAGCCAUCCCAAACCGUAGAUUAAAAUCCUCCAAACUUCUUUACUCGACACGAAACGUCAGGAAAAUGAGACAAUUCCCACCAAUUCAUAUCGCUUUAAUUUUCACAACAAUUUUGACAAUUAUAAAAGGCCAAGAAUUAAAACUAACCAACCUUAACAAAAAACCGUUAUUGGUUUUAGAGAAAGGCCAUUGUAAAAUUCGGACAGGAGUUAUUAACGUUAUACACCCCAUAAACUUGACAGAUAUAGAGACUACAAUAGACAGCUUGAUAAAUAUAGCGUACAGCAAAACUAAUUCCCAGUUAUCUACCAUAAUUCAAUACAAAGUUAAGGAACUCUACAAUAAUUUCUUGCAAAUUAAGCCACAUCGCCAAAAAAGAUGGGACACUGUAGGAACAGUAUGGAAUUCUGUCAAAGAUGAAAACUUCGUAGACGCAGCUAUCCGCGAGGUUCUCGAGGAAACAAAUGUUAAAACAAAAUUCGAAUCGUUAAUUUCGAUUCGUCAUGCACAUAAUGCUGGUUUUGGCUGUUCCGAUUUGUACAUCGUGAUGGCCCUAACUCCCGAAAGUAUGGCAAUAAAGAAAUGUGAUCGUGAAAUAGCCAAAUGUGAGUGGAUGCAUGUCGACGAUUAUUUGAACCACCCGAAAAUACAUGAAACCAAUCGAAACUUUGUGCGUACUUACCUAAAGUAUAAAGAGAAGGGAUUGAGGUUUACUUGCAAAGAUGAAAUUCACCAAAUAUUAAAAAAACAGUACAAUAUUUAUUCAUUAGAGUAUGAUUAUGAUGAGUCCUCUAAACUAUGAUAUUAAAAGUGAAGGAAGAUACGUUUUGUAGAAAUCUAGAUUGUAUAGGAAAAAUUCAGCCUUUUGUUACAAAUUAUCCCAAUAGUGGUUAUAUAAUAAAAAUUGGAAAAUGGGCACCAAUUUUAUAUUAAAUUUAGAAGCAUAUGUAACUUCUUUAAACAACGCAACUAGGGUGGGAUCAUAUUGGUUAAUAAGUGAUUGUUACCAAGUGGUGUUAAUGAAGUGAUCACUGAAAACUUUGGAAUCAAAUAAGGUGAUCAAUUUCGUGUAUGCAACAAGCUACUUCAUGCUUUCGGUAGAGAGUAAAUUUAGGGGGUAGUGAGCCAAAUCGGACCGCUGGCCAAUUCGGGUCCUCAGCUAUGCUAAUAAUAUG